Molecule: ribosomal RNA, 251 nt
Filed under: uncultured prokaryote
Description: partial 16S rRNA
Rfam family: Bacterial small subunit ribosomal RNA
Source: RNAcentral
ACGUAGGGGGCGAGCGUUGUCCGGAAUCACUGGGCGUAAAGCGCACGUAGGCGGCCUGGCAAGUCGGCCGUGAAAGGCUCGGGCUCAACCUGUGCACUGCGGUUGAGACUGCAUGUCUUGAAUCCAGGAGAGGGGAGUGGAAUUCCGAGUGUAGAGGUGAAAUGCGUAGAUAUUCGGAGGAACACCAGUGGCGAAGGCGGCUCACUGGACUGGUAUUGACGCUGAGGUGCGAAAGCGGGGGGAGCAAACAG